This is a non-coding RNA of Salmo salar (Atlantic salmon), 449 nucleotides long. The record is from RefSeq and is a predicted model, not a curated record. NCBI's taxonomy places the organism in Eukaryota, Metazoa, Chordata, Actinopteri, Salmoniformes, Salmonidae.
UGUUGAUAUACCAAUCCUGUGUCUAUUUCCCUUUAGCUUUAAAGGAAUCACAAAAAAUGGAGACAGGUCUCCAGGUCUGUCUUCUGUUCUGAUCUCAAUAAUAGACAACGCUAAACUGAGGGAACUCGUUUCAAAAUGCAUCAGGGCACUGGAAAUGGCAUAUUGCCCUUACAGACGGUUCCCGGUCGAUGCCGCAAUAUCGACAGCAGAGAGUGCUAUAAUCAAAGGUUGCAAUGUGGGAAAUGCCUCUUUUGGGCGCACAGUGUGCGCUGAGUGAACAGAACAGCAACACAGAGAGCCAUAGCUCCAGUUCUCUGCUGCCAAUGACUGGAACGAUCUGCAAACAUCUCUGAAGCUGGAGACUCAUAUCUCCCUCACUAACUUUAAGCACCAGCUGUCAGAGCAGCUCACAGAUCACUGCACCUGUACAUAGCCCAUCUGUAAAUAGC